ACUCCUACGGGAGGCAGCAGUCAGGGAAUUUCCGCAAUGGACGAAAGUCUGACGGAGCAAUGCCGCGUGAGGUGAUGAAGGUUUUCGAAUCGUAAAGCUCUGUUGUAAGGGAAGAAUAGCAGUAGUAGGAAAUGACUACCUGUGUGACGGUACCUUACCAGAAAAGCCACGGCUAACUACGUAGCCCAGGCAGCCGCGGUAAUACGUAGGUGGCAAGCGUUAUCCGGAAUUAUUGGGGCGUAAAGCGCAUGUAGGCGGCUCUUUAAGUCUGAUGUGAAAGCCUGUGGCUCAACCACAGAAAGUUGCAUUGGAUACUGGAGAGCUAGAAUCUUGGAGAGGUAAGUGGAAUUU
Molecule: ribosomal RNA, 351 nt
Filed under: uncultured bacterium
Lineage: Bacteria
Description: bacterial SSU rRNA
Rfam family: Bacterial small subunit ribosomal RNA
Source: RNAcentral